CCCUACGGGGCGCAGCAGGCGCGAAAACUUUACAAUGCGGGAAACCGUGAUAAGGGAACUCCGAGUGCCCGUAAAUUCGGGCUGUUAAUCUGUGUAAAUAACAGGUUGAGAAAGGGCCGGGCAAGACCGGUGCCAGCCGCCGCGGUAAUACCGGCGGCUCGAGUGGUGGCCACUAUUACUGGGCUUAAAGCGUCCGUAGCUGGGUUGUUAAGUCUCUGGGGAAAUCCACCGGCUCAACCGAUGGGCGUCUCAGGGAUACUGGCAGCCUAGGGACCGGGAGAGGUGAGAGGUACUCCAGGGGUAGGAGUGAAAUCCUGUAAUCCA
Molecule: ribosomal RNA, 324 nt
Filed under: uncultured archaeon
Lineage: Archaea
Description: bacterial SSU rRNA
Rfam family: Archaeal small subunit ribosomal RNA
Source: RNAcentral